Molecule: ribosomal RNA, 622 nt
Filed under: Enterobacter asburiae
Lineage: Bacteria; Pseudomonadati; Pseudomonadota; Gammaproteobacteria; Enterobacterales; Enterobacteriaceae
Description: bacterial SSU rRNA
Rfam family: Bacterial small subunit ribosomal RNA
Source: RNAcentral
AAACUGCCUGAUGGAGGGGGAUAACUACUGGAAACGGUAGCUAAUACCGCAUAACGUCGCAAGACCAAAGAGGGGGACCUUCGGGCCUCUUGCCAUCAGAUGUGCCCAGAUGGGAUUAGCUAGUAGGUGGGGUAACGGCUCACCUAGGCGACGAUCCCUAGCUGGUCUGAGAGGAUGACCAGCCACACUGGAACUGAGACACGGUCCAGACUUCUACGGGAGGCAGCAGUGGGGAAUAUUGCACAAUGGGCGCAAGCCUGAUGCAGCCAUGCCGCGUGUAUGAAGAAGGCCUUCGGGGUUGUAAAGUACUUUCAGCGGGGAGGAAGGCGAUAAGGUUAAUAACCUUGUCGAUUGACGUUACCCGCAGAAGAAGCACCGGCUAACUCCGUGCCAGCAGCCGCGGUAAUACGGAGGGGUGCAAGCGUUAAUCGGGAAUUACUGGGCGUAAAGCGCACGCAGGCGGUCUGUCAAGUCGGAUGUGAAAUCCCCGGGGGCUCAACCUGGGAACUGCAUUCGAAACUGGGCAGGCUAGAGUCUUUGUAGAGGGGGGGUAGAAUUCCAGGGUGUAGCGGUUGAAAUGCGUAGAGAUCUGGGAGGGAAUACCCGGGUGGGCGAAGGCGGC